Molecule: ribosomal RNA, 617 nt
Filed under: uncultured bacterium
Lineage: Bacteria
Description: bacterial SSU rRNA
Rfam family: Bacterial small subunit ribosomal RNA
Source: RNAcentral
CCUACGGGAGGCAGCAGUAGGGAAUCUUCCGCAAUGGACGAAAGUCUGACGGAGCAACGCCGCGUGAACGAUGAAGGCCUUCGGGUCGUAAAGUUCUGUUGUUAGGGAAGAACAAGUGCUAGUUGAAUAAGCUGGCACCUUGACGGUACCUAACCAGAAAGCCACGGCUAACUACGUGCCAGCAGCCGCGGUAAUACGUAGGUGGCAAGCGUUGUCCGGAAUUAUUGGGCGUAAAGCGCGCGCAGGCGGUUUCUUAAGUCUGAUGUGAAAGCCCCCGGCUCAACCGGGGAGGGUCAUUGGAAACUGGGAAACUUGAGUGCAGAAGAGGAAAGUGGAAUUCCAAGUGUAGCGGUGAAAUGCGUAGAGAUUUGGAGGAACACCAGUGGCGAAGGCGACUUUCUGGUCUGUAACUGACGCUGAGGCGCGAAAGCGUGGGGAGCAAACAGGAUUAGAUACCCUGGUAGUCCACGCUGUAAACGAUGAGUGCUAAGUGUUAGAGGGUUUCCGCCUUUAGUGCUGCAGUUAACGCAUUAAGCACUCCGCCUGGGGAGUACGGUCGCAAGCUGAAACUUAAAGGAAUUGACGGNUUGAGAGNGCGAGACGACGACGAGGAGAGG